AAGCUGUCAGACCCAACAACUGGCAAAGAAAGCCAUCUCUACAAGGGCAGCUUCUCUACAAAGGUGUAACAAGAUUCUUUUGGAGGUAAUUUACACUGGAAGUAGAUGUUGGAAGUUAUUCUUCAUUUGCAGCUCACUGGCAUUUCACACCAGAACAAAGCUCACUGGUCCUAGAGAGGAAAAAGAGGAGUUCCGAGCCACAAACCACGAGCUGGCAGCAGGGACAGGGUGGAUCAGGGCCUUCACUUCAAUAGCCCUGACACUCAUUGUGGUGUAAGAAUGAUCCAGCCUCCCUCGCCCCAGGGCUCAGCACUUCCUCUGCUCCCCAGCCACUUCUGGGAAGGCUGUCUUGCACUUACCCGGAGAGCUGAGAAAUUGGCUUUGAUUCUUAAAUUGCAAGAACUCCCAUCCACCAUGGAUCAAGAGGUACCAAGGUGAGAACUUGGAAGAAGCCCAAAAUGGUAGUUUUCUAGAAGCUGGUGGAGUCGAUAUUGUCUGCCUGAUGAACAAUCAUGGAAAGAGUCUUCUAGGUAGAAAAACCCAGGAAGCCAAGGGAGCAGACACCCCAGUUCCCAGCCCUGGGAGGAGACAGUGGGGUCACCAAGGGGCGGCUUAGAGAGGCUUUGCCCUUUUCUGUAACCACCCAGCCCUGAUCCCUGGCUUUGAUACGGACUGUUGAUUGAUAUUGACUCUUUCCAAUUUUUUCUAAAGGGCAAGCCCCCACUCCCACCUUCCAUGUGGUUGUCCUUUAAGCCCUCCUGGAUAGAUUUUUUGAAGCCACGCUGAUAAAAAGAUAAUAAUAAUAAUAACUCAGAAACCACUCAAGACCGUCUGCUGUCCACACUCUCAACCUCAAAAUAGUUUAUAUUUAUAGAACACUUCACAAUUUCCACACCCCUUCCCCCAUAAAUUAUUGAUUUGAAUUUCAUGACAAACCCUUGAGGUAGUAGGUAGCAGUUAUUAGCCCCUUCUUUACUGCAGAGGAAACUGAUGCUCAGAGAGGUUAAGAAACUUGUCCAAGGUCACCCUGCCAAUAUACAGGAAGUGGUGAAAUAAAGACCCAGACCCAAGCACCCAGAGUCCUAGUUCAAGAGGCCAUUCCUGGGACUUCCCUGGUGGCGCAGUGGUUAAGAAUCCUCCUACCAAUGCAGGGGACAUGGGUUCGAGCCCUGGCCCGGGAAGACCCCACAUGCCACGGAGCAACCAAGCCCAUGCACCACAACUACUGAGCCUGCGCUCUAGAGCCCGUGUGUCACAACUACUGAAACCCACGUGCCUAGAGCCCAUGCUCCACAAUAAGAGAAGCCACCGCAAUGAGAAGCCCGUGCUCGCCGCAACUAGAGAAAGCCCACGUGCAGCAACAGAAGACCCAACGCAGCCAAUAAAGAAAUAAUGACAGAUUGGAAGACUGGGAGGCAGGUGGACCACGAACCUGAAAGCACCUCUGGGACAGCCCAAGCAACAUGACCUAUCCAUCACUGGGAGCUGGCAGGGCCCAUGAGCUCCCCCAGUGCUUCCGGGGACAAGAGAGCCAGGGGGGCCCUGAGGGCCAGAUGUUAUCUCCUGCCAUUUGCAUCUAAAAUUCAUCAUUUCUUGGCAUGAAUUGAUGGAGGAGGCAUAAAGGGGUGGUAUAAUGGGGUAGCACUUUUAAUUCCUUUCUGACCCCCAUUUAAGGCAGCCUCAAGGGGGAAGUUCCCCAAAGGUUAAAUGACUUUAGGUGAUGAGCAGGAAUACAAUUAGACAAGUCAGCCAAGAGGUAUCAGAGGCCUGUGGAGGGCAAUUUGGCAGAAUUGGACUUUUAAACGAAUGAAUUUACCCUACAAAUAUAUUCUCUCAUGGGCCAAAUGAAGCAUUCACAAGGACAUUCACUGUAGCACUUGUCCAUGUGUUGAGCAAAUAAAUAUUAAACAUUGCAGAUAUAGCAGGAAACAUGCCAAAAUAGCUGCCCUCCUGAGCUUUCGUUCCAGAGAGGAAACAUUUAGCCAUUCACCCAAUAAAUCUUUACUGAGCCUCUACUAUAUGCUACGCAGUGUUCUAGGAUAGGGUUGCCAAAUAAAAUAUAGGCUACCCAGAUAAAUUUGAAUUUCAGAUAAACACUGAAAUAUUAUUUAGUAUAACUAUGUUCCUGGGGAGGAAUGGACUGGGAGUUUGGGGUUAGUAGAUAACACAGGGAACUAUAUCCAUAUCCUGGGAUAAACUAUAAUGGAAAAGAAUAUAAAAAAGAAUGUAUAUGUUUGUAUAACUGAGUCACUUUGCUGUACGGCAGAAAUUAAUACAACAUUGUAGGACUUCCCUGGUGGCGCAGUGGUUAAGAAUCGUCUGCCAAUGCAGAGGACACAGGUUCGAUCCCUGGUCUGGACAGAUCCCACAUGCCGGGGAGCAACUAAGCCCUUGUGCCACAACUACUGAGCCAGCGUGCUGCAACUACUGAAGCUUGCGUGCCUACAGCCCGUGCUCUGCAACAAGAGGAGCCACCACAAUGAGAAGCCCGCGCACCGAAAUGAAGAGUAGCCCCCACUCGCUGCAACUAGAAAAAGCCCGUGAAGCAACGAAGACACAACGCAGCCAAAAAAUAAAAUUAAAAAAAAAGAAAUUAAUACAACAUUGUAAAUCAACUAUACUUCGAUAAAAAAAUAAACUAAAAAAACCAAGAAGUAUGGGAUAUCCUUACACUAAAAAAUUAUUCACUGUUCAUCUGAAAUUGAAAUUUAACUGGAGGGACUUCCCUGGUUGCCCAGUGGUUAAGACUCUGCGCUUCCACUGCAGGAGGCGUGGGUUCAAUCCCUGGUCAGUGAACUAAGAUCCCACAUGCUGCGUGGCAUGGCCAAAAAUAUUUCUUAAAAAAAAAUUUGUUUUUAAGAAAUUUAACUGGAAAGCCUGUAUUUCAAUAUGCUAACUCUGGCAAACCUAUUCUGAGAACAUUGUUUAUAGGAGCAAAAGUUCAGAAACAACCUAAGUGUCCAUCAACAGGGGACUUGUUAAGUAAAUUAUAGAAAACCCAAACAAUGGGAAAUCAUCAUCCAAAAAAUAAUAAGGCAAAUUUAUAUGAUGAUUUGGAAUUAUUUCCAAGAUGCAGAGUUAGGUGAAAAGAAGAAGGUUCAAAACAGUGUAUAAGUUAUCCCACCAUCUGGUAAAGAAAAAGAAAUAUGGAGAUAUGUGCAUAUAUGUUCAUAGACUGUCUUGGGAAGGUGGCCAGAGAUGGGUAACUCAUGCUUCUGCAGAAGGAGAACAAGAAAACUAGGGGAAAACAGCAGUACCCCUUCUAUACCUUUUGAAUUUUGAUAUAAAUCCAUAUAUUACUUAUUUUAAAACAACUUCUUUAUCUCUGUGUGUGUUUUAAGAUAUCUUUGCUGGUAGGGUUGUAAGAUUCUUAGAGAGAGUUGCCAUAGCCUCCCUGAAGGUCUUCGACAGUCAGGAUUUCAGGAUGGUCCAGGAGGCAGGAGAAGGGACAGAAUGACCUUGGAGGGUCACUCAAGUUCAGCAUCAAGAACCAUGGCACACACACAGGACCAGAUACAUAAUUUUCAGGGCCCAGUACAAAAUGAUGUCUCCUUGUUCAUAAAUUCUUAGGAAUUCCAGGAAUGGUAACAGCAGAGGUAUAAGUCAAGUAUGGGUUCCUUCUAAACAAAAGCAGAGAAAACCCACACGACUGCUGGGUGGUUCCUUUGAAUAGGGACACCCGGGAACGUAAUUCCUCACACACAGCCAUUUUCCACACUCACCACUGCUCCAGUCAUGAGCUCAGAAGAGAAAGCAAAACAAUAAAAUAAAUAUAAAUCAAAGCCAACCAUGUGAAUAAAAGGGAUCCAAGGGUCAGUGUGGCAGACAAAACACUAGAAUUCAGAUAGCUUUAGGAUCUUCCCGGACAAAUUACACAAAUGGCUGUCAGAGGUGUCCCAAAGUUCACACAAAAUAUGCCUCCUGGCUCACUGAGCUCCCAUUCCCCGGCAGUAAAUUAUUCACUGAACAAGCUGGAGCUGGUACAGCUGUUGUCCCAACAUAGGCCUGAUGUCCACCCAGAAAACUACUCAAUAAUUUGUACGGAAGGUGACCCAGCACUAAAUCCAUCUCUCCCUGAGCAGAGGCAUUUGCUUCAGGGGAAGAAUCCUCCAUGCUGCCUCCGGCCUCCUUUUGGAACCAGGCACCGAGUCCCCAUCGAGGGGCCACAGGUGGCCUUGCAGCCCCAGAGCAGCACCUCCUAACCCAGCAGUCAGCGAGCUUGGGAGGCCAAGGACACCAGAGGGAGGGCUCCAGUGGGUGAGAAGGAAAAAGGAGGAGGUCGGGAAAGGAAAGAAAGAGACCCUGCAGGAGAAGAGAUUACAGGCUGAAGAGGGAGGGAUGGAAUGAAGAAGAGGGAAGAAAUAUAAGCUUUGAGACAAAGUCUGUGGUUCCAGAGCUUCUACCUCCUUACCGCCCCGAUCUCAGCUUCCGGAAAUCCUUCCCAUCCUUGAGGCUCCGCUCAAACGACACUUCCUCAAGGGAGUUCACCGAUUGCCGCAGAACAAUGCUGCUACGAAAAGAAAUAGCAAUAACCUUGAUGGAGAGCGUACCACGUACCACCUGCAACAUGUCAUUUAGUUCCCCCCAACCCUUUGAAGUAGACACUAUUGCUGCCCUCAUUUUUCAAAUAAAGAAACCGAGGUAUGAAGAAGCUUAGUAACCUGCCCAAGGUUACACAGGUGACAAAUGGUGCAGCUAGAACCAGAGAGUGACUUCAGAGCCUUCACUUUUAACCAUUCAGUGCUACAAUUUCCUUCUUCUGCCUCACCCUGUGCCCUCAAGUGGCUCAGACUUUGCUUGUGGUUCCAACUUCACCUCUCCACACCCACCUCUGGGACUCUGUCUCACUCAUACCCCUGUUCCUCCAGGAACCCAGUAUGAUGUCUAGCACACAGUAGGUACUCAAUAAAUAUCAGUUCCAUUCCUUUCUCUAGUCAGACACAUGUACAAAAAGUACUGUGUCUCAGGACUUCCCUGGCGGUUCAGUGGUUAAGAAGCCACGCUCACUGCAGGGGGCACGGGUUCGGUCCCUGGAGAGGGAACUAAGAUACCACAUCCCACAUGCCAUGCAGUGCAGCCAAAUAAAAUAAAUUAAAAUAAAAUAACAGUUAUACUAUCUAAAAAAAAAAGGACUGGGACUUCCCUAGUGGUCCAGUGGGUAAGAUUCCACAUUCUCAAUGCAGGGGUCCUGGGUUCGAUCCCUGGUGGGGGAACUAGAUCCUGCAUGCAUCUGCAACUAGAAGUCCACAUGCUGCAACUAAAAACUCCACAUGCCGCAACUAAGACCUAGCACAGCCAAAAUAAAUAAAUGAACAAAUAAAUAAAUAUUUAAAAAAAAUAAAAACAUCAUCUAAAAAGAAAAAAAAAAGUACUGUCUCAGCUACAGACUGGGAGAAAAUAUUUACGUAUCACAUACCCAACACAGGAUUUGUAUUCAGAAUAUAAUAUAAACUGUUAUAACUGAAAAAAAGAAAAUAGGCAACUCAAUUAAACAAUGAGUAGGGGGCUUCCCUGGUGGCGCAGUGGUUGAGAGUCUGCCUGCCGAGUCAGGGGACGCGGGUUUGUGCCCCGGUCCGGGGGGAAUCCCACAUGCCGCGGAGCAGCUGGGCCCGUGAGCCAUGGCCGCUGGUCUGCGCGUCUGGAGCCUGUGCUCCGCAACGGGAGAGGCCACAACAGUGAGGGGCCCGCCUACCGCCAAAAAAAAAAAAAAUGAGUCAACGACAUGAACAAUGCUUCACCAAAGAGGAUAUAAGGAUGCCAAAUAAGCACAUGAAAAGCUGUUUAGUAUCAUUAGUCAUUAGGGAAAUGCAAAUUUAAAUUAUAAUGAGAUAUCACUACAUACCUAUUAGAAUGACUAAAAUUAAAGCUACUGACAAUACCAAAUUCUGGCAAUGAUGUAGAACAACUGGAACCCUCAUACAUUGCUGGUGAGGAUGCAAAAUGAAACAUCCACUCUGGAAAAUAGCUUGUCAGUUUCUUAUUAAGUUAAACAUAUAUACAUUGACCCAGUAGUCCCACUCCUGGGCACGUACCCUGGAGAAACGAAUAUUUAUGUCCACACAAAAACCUGCAUAUGUAUAUUUAUAGCAUCUCUGUUCAUAAUUGCCAAAAACUGGAAAUAGCCCAAAUGCCUUUCAAUGGUUGAAUGAAUAAAUAAACCAAGUCCAUCCAAACAAUGGAAUAUUACUCAACAAUAAAAAGGAACAAACUUUUGGCAUACACAACCUGGAUGAAUCUCAAAGGGGUUUAUACUGAGUGAAAGUUCCAUGCUGUAGAUGUCAUUUAUAUAACAUUCUCAGAUGAUAAAACUAUAGGGAGAGAGAACCGAUCAGUGGUUGCCAAGGGUUAAGUAUGGAGAGGAGUGGAAUAAAGGGAUAGUACAGGGAACUUUUUGGAGUGAUGGAACAAUCCUGUAUCCUGAUUGUGGUGGUGGUUAUAUAAAUCUAUAUAUGUGUUAAAAUUCAUAUAACUAUUCACUAGGAUGGCUAUGAUCAAAAAGACAAAUAAUAAAAUUGUUGGUGAGGAGGUGGAGAAAUUGGAACCCUCAUACAUUGCUGAUGGGAAUGUAAAAGGGUACAGCCACUUUGGAGAACAGUCCGGCAGUUCCUUAGAAAGUUAAACAUAAAAAUUAAAAAUAGAGUUACCAUAUGACCCAGUAAUUCCACUCUUAGGUAUAUGCCCAAGAGAACGAAAGUAUAUGUCCGGAUAAACGAAAUGUGGUACAUCCACACAAUGGAAUAUAAUUCAGCUUUUAAAAAGGAAUAAAGUAGUGAUACAUGCUACAACAGGGAUGAGUCCCAAAAACAUUAAGCAAGUGAAAUAAACCAAGAGAUUUCCCUGGUGGCGCGGUGGUUAAGAAUCUGCCUGCCAAUGCAAGGGACACAGGUUCGAUCCCUGGUCUGGGAAGAUCCCACAUGCUGUGGAGUAACUAAGCCCUUAUGCCACAACUGCUGAGCCCACAUGCUGCAACUACUGAAACCCACGUGCCUGGAGCCCGUGCUCCACCACAAGAGAAGCCACCUCAAUGAGAAGCCAGCGCACCGCAACGAAGAGUAGCCCCCGCUCGCCGCAACCAGAGAAAGCCUGCGUGCAGCAACGAAGACCCAACGCAACCAAAAAAAUAAAAUAAAACUUAAAAAAAUAAAAAGAAAUAAACCUGACACAAAAGGCCACAUGUUGUGUAAUUCCAUUUAUAUGAAAUGUCAAGAAUAGACAAAUACACAGAGACAGAGAGUAGAUUCAUGUUUGCCAGGGAUUCGGGAAAGGAAUAAAUGAGGAAUAACUACUAAUGGGUAUGGGGUUUCUUUGGGGAAUGAUGAAAAUGUUCUGGAAUUAGUGGUGAUGGUUGCACAGCUUUGCAAAUAUACUAAAAGCCACUUAAUUAUGUGCUUUAAAAAGGUGAAUUUUAUGUUAUGUGAAUUAUAUUGACAAAAAAUUCUAGAACUUUACACCCACAGAAAAAAAAUUUUCUUUUAAGUCAGAUUUAAUACAAUAAAGUAUUAUGCCUGAAAGGCAGGAACCGAGUUCUCACCUGCUAUGUAAGGUGCCUCACACACUAAAUACUUUGGACAGGUUCCCAAACUUGGCUAUACCUUGGAACCCCCUGGGGGAGGGGUCUUUAAGAAUUUGUGAUGCCUGGCAACUACCCCCAGACAUUCUGAUUUAAUUGGUCUGGGGUGUGACCUGGAUAUUGAGAGUUUUUAAAGCUUCCCAAGUGAUUCUAAUAUGCAGCAAAAUUUGAGAACCACUGACUUAGGAAAUGGUUGAUGAACAACCAUUCCUGGGAGCCAAAAGCCAGCCCUCCUCCCCACCUCCACCUCAGAGCAGUCAGAUCAGAUUUGUCCUUGGCAAAGAGAACAGUUACAAUCUUUCCCGCUGUUCACCAUGCAGGACAGAAACAAAUCAGAACAUCCUUUCCAGUCCCUUAAGGGCCACCGCUCUCUCUGCAGACAUGUGGUUGAUGAGACCAUCAGCAAUUCUUUGGAGGGAGAGUCUGUCCUGCAACACCCUGCCCCGCCAUCGUCUUCCGGCUCUCUGUGGCUGCCACCAUUUGCAGCUGCGGGUAGGGAAAUGAAGGAGGAAGCCACUUAAUAAACACAUGCUCAGUACAGUGUAGCAAGUUUUCUGAGUGACCCUUCCCAGGGACAUUCAUAUUUUCAAAGAAGACUCCCUGCAACACAAAGGCCUGGAUCUCUAAGGAUGGAAUUUCAGAUGCCAGUAGGGGUGAUUUUGAGGGAGAGUGUCUCUUCCCUUGACUUUUCAGGCAUGUGUCUAGACUGGUCCUGAUUGUUUGUCCUGCCUGUUUUCUUAGAGAAUGAGAUCCUAGCUAGCAGCAUUCCAUUUAUUUCAUGAUGUGGUUUGAAUGGCAAUUUCAUUCAGUUGUGAUUAGGCAUUGUCUGUGGCAUCUAUGGAUUUUCUAAGCCAAGCCAUCUCACACUUCAUUGAAAUCCCUUUUGUAUUAUCCGUAUUUUGUAUUAUUAUCCUGUUGUUUCAUGCAGGUGAGUCUUUUCUCACAGUCUUAGUUAUUAAGACUCGGUUGCAGAUUACAAAAACCAACUCAGGCAACCUCAAGCAACAGGGGAGUUUACAAUAGGAUUACAGGUGGGACCAGGAAAAGUUAAGCCUCAGGGAGAGCAGGCAUCCCGGCAUCUCUGGUCAAGAUCAGGGAGUAGAACCUGAUCUUAGAGUAGAACCUCCAUCCUAGUGGAUAGGGAAGUUAGAUCUCAAAGAAUAAUAAUCACCCAACAUUAAUUGAACAUUUACCGUGUACCAGGCACUGUUCUAAAUUUUUUUUUUUUUCUUUUGGUUGCAUUGGGUCUUCGUUGCUGCGUGCGGGCUUUCUCUAGUUGUGGUGAGUGGGGGCCACUCCUCCUUGCGGUGCACGGGAUUUUCACCGCGGUGGCUUCUCUUGUUGUGGAGCACAGGCUCUAGGCAUGUGGGCUUCAGUAGUUGUGGCACGUGGACUCAGUAGUUGUGGCUCACACACUCUAGAGCGCAGGCUUAGUAGCUGUGGCUCACAGGCUUAGUUGCUCCAUGGCAUGUGGGAUCUUCCCAGACCAGGGCUUGAACCCAUGUCCCUUGCAUUGGCAGGCGGAUUCUUAACCACUGCACUACCAGGGAAGUCCCUAAAUUCUAAAUAUAUUAAUUCAUUCAAUCCUAAGAAUAACCCUAUGAGAUUAUUCUUACAUUAUUAUUAUUAUGAAUAUAUGACUAUUACUACUCCCAUUUUACAAAUGAGGAAACUGAGGUACACAGAAGAUAAGCAACAGUUCCAAGGUCUUCCAGCUGGCAUUUGAACUCAGGUAGUCUGGUUUCAGAACCCACAUAUUUAACCACCAUGUGAAUGGUGCCCCUGGGAUUGUGCAGUGGGCAACCUGUACACUCAUACAUGGUGUCCCUGACCACAAAGUAUGGACUAGAUCAGUGUUUCUCAACAGGGGCCGCCAUGUAUGAGUGGGCCAGAGCAUUGUGCACCAGAUAAUUUGUUGUGCGGGACAGUCUCAACCCCAUUUACUAAAUGCUAGAAGUAGUAAACCCUUCAGUCAUUGGGAAAAUCAAAACGCCCCCUGGGAAAGUACCAGCCUCAGUUGAGAACCACUGGGAUAAACAGACGCCCCCAAAGGUGUCUGUCUACUUCUCUAUUUUAGGAGCCCCUUGAAGCUAACAACUAUGUGUCUUCUUUUCCUCCACCUCCAGCAUUUGGCCUAAAGAUACCCAAAGUCCUCGCCCCAGUCCUCCCUCCCCAGGAUUUGCCUGGGCAUCCAGUUUUAUUGACCUGGGAUGACAGGGAUGAAAAUAUGAAUCAUACAUGGUAAAUUCAUUUCCAUCAAGAUUUCACGAAUGUACAACGAUUUUCACAGUUUAAGAAUUAGACAUUUCUAUGAAAAAAAGGCGCCACAGUUAAAUUUUUUUUAAUUUUGCAAAAGAGAAAAGUACCUCGAAUCCUGCCCCCUGCAUAACUACUCUCAGUUUUGUAUGUUACUUCCAUUGCCUGUUUACACCUGUUCUCACAGUGAACACAGUUAUAGGCAAAGAGUGUACCUUCUGGGGUUCUGCUAUCUUCACUUAACACUUAGAAAUGUUUUCUGUGUGGUUACAUGGUCUUCAUAACAAAUGAUCUUUUUAAAGUCUGCAUAGUGUUCCAUUGCACAGAUCUACUUUAAUUUUAAACACUCUCGCAAGUGUUAAAUGUUUAGCUCAUUUCCAUGGUUAUUGAUUUUUGGGUUCUUGCUUUAACAGUAAUGCUGCAAUAUGUAUUUUUAUACACAUAGCUCUGCUUCUGUUUUAAUUAUUCAGAUAAUUCCCAGAAAUGGGAUUACUGAGUCAAUGGGUGUGGACAUCUUCAUGGCUCUUGGCACAAAGUUCUGUAUCACUUUCCCAGAGAUAUGUACCAAUUUACAGUGUUUCCUGGUAGUCUAUGCCUGCCCCAAUUUCACUACAACUUCACCAGCAUUAAGGACUCUCAUUUUUUAAAAUAACCCAUCCACGUAUGUAAAGGGGUGGUUUUUCAAGUUGGCUUAAAUUUGCGUUUCUGUGAUUUUAUGUAUUUUCCUAGUGCUGUUUGUUAUUUGUAUUCUUCCUUACAUUAAUAAACUCUAUGUAGUGUCUAGAAUGGAAAUUAUUAUCUUCAUUUUACACAUUAAAACCCCACUCAGAGAAGUUACAAAAAGUUGCCCAAGUUCACGGAGCUGCUCAAAUUAGAAGGAAAAUUUUUGACCUGCCUAGUCCAGUGCUCUUUCCACCCCACCCCAUAGCUCAGCCUGCUUUAGCUCAGACAAGCUCAGUGCUGAAAUCACGAGCAAAGGAGGGGCUCGCUCGAAAGGCCUCUCUCUGAGCUCUGUAGCUAGUGCCCACCUGGCUCCAAGUUUCCAACCCAGGUCUAAAGAGGUACUCAGAGGCAGCCCCCAGAAAGGAUCCCGGCACCCCGUUCUCCUUCCCUGCCUCUUCUGCUCCAGGUCCUGUAGUAUUUCACCUCUGAUAAAUUCCUUAGCAUGGUGGGGAAUGCCCUGGCAGUGUGGUUAGGACUCUGCACUUUCAUUGCCAAGGGCCUAGGUUCAGUCACUUGUGGGGGAACUAAGAUCCCACUGCCUACACAGCAUGAUCAGAAAAAAAAAAAAAAAUUCCCCACACCUGGCUGCUUCCCAGCAUCCCUUAGGAGAACCCUUCCUACUUCCCAUGCCCAGGUCCCUGGUCCGUGGAAUAAGAAUCUUCAGGGUUUGGGGCCCGAGGAUCUGUAGUUUUUAACCCCCUGCAAGUAACUAUGAGGCUCACCUAGGUUUAGAACCCACUGCCUUGGGGUCCAUAAGAUCCCAAGGGUGCUUGUUAAAAACUCAGACUCCUGGCUGACCUUGGGCCUGGUGUGGGGCCAUGGAAUCUGCAUUCCAACAAGCAUGCUGUCCACAGACCAUACAAAGGGGACCUUUGAGGGCUGGGAAAGGGCCUCUGCAGCCAUCACUUUUCCAAUUUAAUCAAAAUGUAGACGAACCUCAAUAGGAAGCAGCUCUUCCUUCUUCCCAGAGGAACCAGCUAGACUCUCUGAAAUCCAGUUUGCUUGGCUAGCUCCAAAGCAUUAGCAUAAAAGCACUGGAGAGUGAAGGAAAAGAACAGCUCUUCUGCCCAAGAGAAAACCCUCCGUGCCAAGCAGAAGGGGGGCCGUGGUGGACAGCGUGGCAGGUGGUGUUUAUCUGCAAUCAUAGGCUAUUCACCAAACUCCCAAACCGCCUCUUAUAUGCAAAUUGUUCACCAGCAACCUCUCUUAGCCAUUCGUCUUGGGAAUUGAUGGCAGUCGCCUUCUUUUUCCCUUUCCCAAAUCAAACUCCUAAAGAGUCAGCAAAGCCUGGAAGCCACACAAAGGCACCACGUCCCGUGUCACAGAACAGGACAUCACCCCAGAGGUGGACCACCAGCCCCGGGACUCAAAACAAGGAGUCGGGUUUGUUUACUGAGGCAAAAUCACAAAGAUGUUUUCACAUUAAGUUCCAAAAUAGUUCUCCCUGGACUUCCCUGGUGGCGCAGUGGUUAAGAGUCCACCUACCAAUGCAGGGGACACGGGUUCAAGCCCUGGUCCGGGAAGAUCCCACAUGCCGCGGAGCAACUAAGCCCGUGCACCACAGCUACUGAGUCUGCGCUCUAGAGCCCGUGAGCCACAACUACUGAGCCCGCAUGCCACAACUACUGAAGCCCACGCGCCUAAAGAGAAGCCAUCACAAUGAAAAGCCCAUACACCGCAAUGAAGAGUAGCCCCUGCUCACCGCAACUAGAGAAAGCCCGUGCACUGCGACCAAGACCUGAUGCAGCCAAAAAAUAAAUAAAUUUAAAAAAAGAAAAAUCCAGGGUUCACGGAUAUUACUUGCAGUGAUAUCUGUAAUAUUUUUAAAUGGAAAUGAUUUAAUGUUCAAGGGUAAGAGAAUAAAAAUUGUAGACAUACAGUGGGAUCGUAGUAAGCUCUUAAAAAAUAAUGCUGUAGGGAUUUCCCUGGUGGUCCAGUGGUUAAGACUCCGAGCUCCCAGUGCAGGGGGCCCGUGUCCCAUCCAUGGGACUAGAUCCCGUAUGCUGCAACUAAAAUAUCCUGCGUGCAGCAACUAAGACCCGGCGCAGCCUAAACAAAUAAAUAAAUAUACUUUUUUAAAUGCCUUACAAAUUUAUUUAAAAAUAAUAAUAAUAAUGCUAUAGAACGGGAGUCGGAAAACCACACCCACAUGCCAAAUCGACCUGCCUCUUGCUUUCGUAAAUAAAGUUUUAUUUGAACACAGCCGUGCUAAUUGUCUAUGUGUCCUCAACAAUUGCUUUCAUGCUAUAUGACAGUAGUAAUUCCAACAGACCUUAUGACCUGCAAAGGCUGAAAUAUUUACCAUCUGGACCUUUAUAAAAAAAGUUUACCAACCUCUGCUAUAGGAGGAUAUUUACAAAUGUUUAUGGCGUAUUGCUAAAUGAAAAUAGAAAAUCAAGCUACCGCAUGAUACCAUUUUUGUUAUGCAUACGUAUAAGACUGAAAUAAAUUCAAAUAACAAUGGUUCUCUCUAGGUAGUGGGAUUAUGGAUGGUCAGAUGUGUCUAUAGAUUUCUAAUAGGCUAUUUUCAUGUUUUUCAGAUUGUCCAUACUGAAUAUCUAUUGUUUCUAUAAUUAGCAAGAGGGAAGAGGAAAAAAUAAGAGUAAGUGGGAGUUGUAUCAUACCUGGGACUCGCUUCAGUGCCAUUUUCCACUCUCCCCUCCCAAUCUCCAUCCCAACCCCCAACCCCAUCCCAGUCCCCCUCCGGAGUACCUCCUUGCCCCCAUCUCCAUCCCAAUCUUGCCUUGCUUUGCAAAAUCCCCACUCAAACGAAAAAGGAGAGGAUUCCUUUUAUUCCACAUCAGCAGUUGCACCUGCGGACAUGGAGGGACAGGACGGAGAAGAAGCAGAGUUUUGUUUUGGUUUGUUUUUUUACUGGUUUUGUCUCUGAACUAAAAAUACAAG
This is a long non-coding RNA of Orcinus orca (killer whale), 13453 nucleotides long. RefSeq lists it as uncharacterized. The transcript has 3 exons. The record is from RefSeq and is a predicted model, not a curated record. NCBI's taxonomy places the organism in Eukaryota, Metazoa, Chordata, Mammalia, Artiodactyla, Delphinidae.